This 2930-nucleotide ribosomal RNA is filed under the name Escherichia coli. Its description in RNAcentral is "23S ribosomal RNA". It matches the Rfam family "Bacterial large subunit ribosomal RNA". Lineage: Bacteria; Pseudomonadati; Pseudomonadota; Gammaproteobacteria; Enterobacterales; Enterobacteriaceae. The record is from RNAcentral.
GGGUUGUGAGGUUAAGCGACUAAGCGUACACGGUGGAUGCCCUGGCAGUCAGAGGCGAUGAAGGACGUGCUAAUCUGCGAUAAGCGUCGGUAAGGUGAUAUGAACCGUUAUAACCGGCGAUUUCCGAAUGGGGAAACCCAGUGUGUUUCGACACACUAUCAUUAACUGAAUCCAUAGGUUAAUGAGGCGAACCGGGGGAACUGAAACAUCUAAGUACCCCGAGGAAAAGAAAUCAACCGAGAUUCCCCCAGUAGCGGCGAGCGAACGGGGAGCAGCCCAGAGCCUGAAUCAGUGUGUGUGUUAGUGGAAGCGUCUGGAAAGGCGCGCGAUACAGGGUGACAGCCCCGUACACAAAAAUGCACAUAUUGUGAGCUCGAUGAGUAGGGCGGGACACGUGGUAUCCUGUCUGAAUAUGGGGGGACCAUCCUCCAAGGCUAAAUACUCCUGACUGACCGAUAGUGAACCAGUACCGUGAGGGAAAGGCGAAAAGAACCCCGGCGAGGGGAGUGAAAAAGAACCUGAAACCGUGUACGUACAAGCAGUGGGAGCACGCUUAGGCGUGUGACUGCGUACCUUUUGUAUAAUGGGUCAGCGACUUAUAUUCUGUAGCAAGGUUAACCGAAUAGGGGAGCCGAAGGGAAACCGAGUCUUAACUGGGCGUUAAGUUGCAGGGUAUAGACCCGAAACCCGGUGAUCUAGCCAUGGGCAGGUUGAAGGUUGGGUAACACUAACUGGAGGACCGAACCGACUAAUGUUGAAAAAUUAGCGGAUGACUUGUGGCUGGGGGUGAAAGGCCAAUCAAACCGGGAGAUAGCUGGUUCUCCCCGAAAGCUAUUUAGGUAGCGCCUCGUGAAUUCAUCUCCGGGGGUAGAGCACUGUUUCGGCAAGGGGGUCAUCCCGACUUACCAACCCGAUGCAAACUGCGAAUACCGGAGAAUGUUAUCACGGGAGACACACGGCGGGUGCUAACGUCCGUCGUGAAGAGGGAAACAACCCAGACCGCCAGCUAAGGUCCCAAAGUCAUGGUUAAGUGGGAAACGAUGUGGGAAGGCCCAGACAGCCAGGAUGUUGGCUUAGAAGCAGCCAUCAUUUAAAGAAAGCGUAAUAGCUCACUGGUCGAGUCGGCCUGCGCGGAAGAUGUAACGGGGCUAAACCAUGCACCGAAGCUGCGGCAGCGACGCUGAUGCGUUGUUGGGUAGGGGAGCGUUCUGUAAGCCUGCGAAGGUGUGCUGUGAGGCAUGCUGGAGGUAUCAGAAGUGCGAAUGCUGACAUAAGUAACGAUAAAGCGGGUGAAAAGCCCGCUCGCCGGAAGACCAAGGGUUCCUGUCCAACGUUAAUCGGGGCAGGGUGAGUCGACCCCUAAGGCGAGGCCGAAAGGCGUAGUCGAUGGGAAACAGGUUAAUAUUCCUGUACUUGGUGUUACUGCGAAGGGGGGACGGAGAAGGCUAUGUUGGCCGGGCGACGGUUGUCCCGGUUUAAGCGUGUAGGCUGGUUUUCCAGGCAAAUCCGGAAAAUCAAGGCUGAGGCGUGAUGACGAGGCACUACGGUGCUGAAGCAACAAAUGCCCUGCUUCCAGGAAAAGCCUCUAAGCAUCAGGUAACAUCAAAUCGUACCCCAAACCGACACAGGUGGUCAGGUAGAGAAUACCAAGGCGCUUGAGAGAACUCGGGUGAAGGAACUAGGCAAAAUGGUGCCGUAACUUCGGGAGAAGGCACGCUGAUAUGUAGGUGAAGUCCCUCGCGGAUGGAGCUGAAAUCAGUCGAAGAUACCAGCUGGCUGCAACUGUUUAUUAAAAACACAGCACUGUGCAAACACGAAAGUGGACGUAUACGGUGUGACGCCUGCCCGGUGCCGGAAGGUUAAUUGAUGGGGUCAGCGCAAGCGAAGCUCUUGAUCGAAGCCCCGGUAAACGGCGGCCGUAACUAUAACGGUCCUAAGGUAGCGAAAUUCCUUGUCGGGUAAGUUCCGACCUGCACGAAUGGCGUAAUGAUGGCCAGGCUGUCUCCACCCGAGACUCAGUGAAAUUGAACUCGCUGUGAAGAUGCAGUGUACCCGCGGCAAGACGGAAAGACCCCGUGAACCUUUACUAUAGCUUGACACUGAACAUUGAGCCUUGAUGUGUAGGAUAGGUGGGAGGCUUUGAAGUGUGGACGCCAGUCUGCAUGGAGCCGACCUUGAAAUACCACCCUUUAAUGUUUGAUGUUCUAACGUUGACCCGUAAUCCGGGUUGCGGACAGUGUCUGGUGGGUAGUUUGACUGGGGCGGUCUCCUCCUAAAGAGUAACGGAGGAGCACGAAGGUUGGCUAAUCCUGGUCGGACAUCAGGAGGUUAGUGCAAUGGCAUAAGCCAGCUUGACUGCGAGCGUGACGGCGCGAGCAGGUGCGAAAGCAGGUCAUAGUGAUCCGGUGGUUCUGAAUGGAAGGGCCAUCGCUCAACGGAUAAAAGGUACUCCGGGGAUAACAGGCUGAUACCGCCCAAGAGUUCAUAUCGACGGCGGUGUUUGGCACCUCGAUGUCGGCUCAUCACAUCCUGGGGCUGAAGUAGGUCCCAAGGGUAUGGCUGUUCGCCAUUUAAAGUGGUACGCGAGCUGGGUUUAGAACGUCGUGAGACAGUUCGGUCCCUAUCUGCCGUGGGCGCUGGAGAACUGAGGGGGGCUGCUCCUAGUACGAGAGGACCGGAGUGGACGCAUCACUGGUGUUCGGGUUGUCAUGCCAAUGGCACUGCCCGGUAGCUAAAUGCGGAAGAGAUAAGUGCUGAAAGCAUCUAAGCACGAAACUUGCCCCGAGAUGAGUUCUCCCUGACUCCUUGAGAGUCCUGAAGGAACGUUGAAGACGACGACGUUGAUAGGCCGGGUGUGUAAGCGCAGCGAUGCGUUGAGCUAACCGGUACUAAUGAACCGUGAGGCUUAACCUUACAACGCCGAAGCUGUU